CUUGAGCCGACCCAACUCUCCACCUUCUUCCUUCCACCAAACCAAAAGUCUCCCUCUCUUCUUCCUCAAAUCCAAGUUUUCUCUCAAGAUCCUUCUCCCACCAUCUCUCACCCUCUAAAUCACCCUCUUGGAACCAAGUUCCUCCCCUUCUUCUUCUUCAUUUGGAGCGAUUCGAGCUAACCCUAGACUCUAUCUGUCUCCUCCAAAUCGGCACAUCACUUCUCCAAAAUCUUUAUCUUUCCACUAAAAACCCUUCAUCUCUCCCUCACAUUUGCUCUCCUAAGUUCUGUGCUAGUCCUGCCUGUGCAAAUGGCUCCCA
This 319-nucleotide long non-coding RNA is filed under the name Elaeis guineensis (African oil palm). RNAcentral's name for it is "long non-coding RNA (EGUI_LNC077748)". Lineage: Eukaryota; Viridiplantae; Streptophyta; Magnoliopsida; Arecales; Arecaceae. The record is from RNAcentral.